RNAcentral lists this ribosomal RNA (504 nucleotides) under uncultured bacterium. Its description in RNAcentral is "bacterial SSU rRNA". It matches the Rfam family "Bacterial small subunit ribosomal RNA", at positions 25 to 518 of the family's 1533-position model. The record is from RNAcentral.
CAGGAUGAACGCUAGCGAUAGGCCUAACACAUGCAAGUCGAGGGCAUCACAUGAAGCAGCAAUGCGGAUGGUGGCGACCGGCGCACGGGUGAGUAACACGUAUGCAACCUGCCUUCAACAAGGGGAUAACCCGUUGAAAGACGGACUAAUACCCUAUAAUACAGGGGUCCCGCAUGGGGAUAUUUGUUAAAGAUUAAUCGGUUGAAGAUGGGCAUGCGUUCCAUUAGCUAGUUGGUGGGGUAACGGCCCCCCAAGGCAACGAUGGAUAGGGGAACUGAGAGGUUUAUCCCCCACACUGGUACUGAGACACGGACCAGACUCCUACGGGAGGCAGCAGUGAGGAAUAUUGGUCAAUGGACGCAAGUCUGAACCAGCCACGUCCGCGUGAAGGAAGACGGCCCUACGGGUUGUAAACUUCUUUUGCAAGGGAAUAAAGUGGGCCACGCGUGGCCUUUUGCAUGUACCUUGCGAAUAAGGAUCGGCUAACUCCGUGCCAGCCGCCGC